GGCGCGGUGGCCGAGGAGUUAGGCGUUGGUCUGCAAAACCAAUCACACGGGUGCGAUUCCCGUCCGUGCCUCCA
Molecule: transfer RNA, 74 nt
Filed under: Candidatus Saccharimonadota bacterium
Lineage: Bacteria; Candidatus Saccharimonadota
Description: tRNA-Cys
Rfam family: tRNA
About the family: Transfer RNA (tRNA) molecules are approximately 80 nucleotides in length.
Source: RNAcentral